This 240-nucleotide unclassified non-coding RNA is filed under the name soil metagenome. RNAcentral describes it as "partial contains 5.8S ribosomal RNA, internal transcribed spacer 2, and large subunit ribosomal RNA". The record is from RNAcentral.
AACUGAUACUACCUGCGGGAACCUGCGGAGGGAUCAUUACUGAAGUGAUUUGGGGAUGUUGCUGGCCCUCCCUCAAGGGGGGGCACUGUGCACUCCUCGAAACAAUUCACAAUUUCCAUCACACCCCUUGUGCACACCUUGUAGGCACCCAAACCCACCUCCGGGUGGUGGGGUCCUAUGUAUUCCUUCAUCUCACACUCUGUUGAAUGGUGCCAUGGGACGCAUCUAAAGGAUUAUUUG